Molecule: non-coding RNA, 2792 nt
Organism: Aegilops tauschii subsp. strangulata
Lineage: Eukaryota; Viridiplantae; Streptophyta; Magnoliopsida; Poales; Poaceae
Source: RefSeq, a predicted model, not a curated record
UUUUUGUCCCACCAUUUUUGUUCGGUUUUUUUUCGUCCUCUCCCCCACCCCACCCCACGCAGGCCAAAAAAACCCCACACCCGGCAGAAAAAACGCUCCAUCGAUCCUAUCCUUCAUUGCCGACUCCUCUCGAUCCCAUCUCUACUCCAAUACGAUCCGCCGCCGAGAUCCGAGACGAUCCGCCGCUGCCGAGAACCGAUUGGAGCCGCCGCCGGCGCUGGCCAGCCUCCCCACCGAUGUGCGCGCCGGGUCGCCGCUCCCGCUCCCGCAGCCGAGCAUAGCAGCAGCGGCGGAGCCCCAGCCGCCACCACGUUCCUCCUGCUCUCCAGCAAGUCCGCCCAGGACCAGCAGCUCCUCGCCUCCGCCGCCGGCGAGCUCUCUCUGGCGGAGGAGGGCGGGGGCGAGCUCGCCGUCUCCCUCGCGCUCGGCGCCAGUGGGGACGCGGGCUACGAUGCGGCCACCUACAUGGGCGCGCUCCAGGCGGCGCUUCGGGAGGUGGAUGCGUUGGUCGCCGCGGAUGGCAUCCACGCACGACCUCGUGAUACAGAACUUCGCCAAACUUCCGGUGGGCGUCGUGUGCGCCACAUACAUGCAGUUCAAAGGCAAAGGUGCGUCAAAUAUGUAUGCCAAUUGGUGCUUGUUUUUGUUGUCCCUUUUAGUGUGUAUCUCUGAUGAUCUUUCAAUCUCGGUGAUCAAUGUCUGUCACUUUGGUGGGGAGAUGAAUUGUGCUGUUCUGUUUGUUGUAUGUUCAGUUGAUGAUUCGCUUGACAUAUCCACAAGAGUCGGCAGCGACUUGAUUUAUAUUUUCCGCUACUUGUCAAUAUGAUGGCCCGUUGUAUAUAAAUGAGGCAUGGCCAUCACUUAUACUUGGGAACUACUUUUCAGUGAUAGCUGUAUUGACUAAGGGAACUACGGCGGGCUUAUGCUUACUGAACUAUAUUCGAAACUAUCAGAGUGUAUAUCAGAUUAGAGCAGAUUACAGCAGCCUUAAAGAUUGUUGGCCAUUAACGGUUAUCCAUGGCACUAAAACUACUUGAUCUCAAUACAUUCACCUCACAACACUUGUUGGCGAAAACAUGUGCUAUAGCACCAAAGAAGUUGAGGUCAAAUUAAUGAGGUCAUCGACUUGAAGAUUGAUAAAUAUGGUUCUGUUAUUAUGCAGGAGUUGUGUGAUCUGAGGAGAAACUAUUCUCUUGCAAAUCGGAUAAUUGUUGUAGGAAUUAAAAGGCACAUGAUUGUACUGUUGUUCUGGGAUUUCGUUUCUUACGUUCCUCGACCCUAAUGUCUACAUGAGGUGUGAGUUCAACGGAUAAAGGAAAUCACAUUACUAAUAGAAUGAUGCCGCAGCAAAGAAAAUGCUCUCAGCCUUGGACGAUCCAUUCACUCGAUUCUUGAAACCAUUACCUUUUCUGAAGCAAGACUAGCUAGCACCCAAGGUGCCGUGGCAGGUAAAUGACUGUCUAGAGACGUUUUAUCUUGAUAAUUGACAACAUAAGAGUGCAAAAUAUUUGACAACAGAUCGCUUAUGGUAAGACCUAGCUAUUAUCAAUAAUUUUAGUCCAUUAAAUGCGGUCUUAGUGAAAGGGUGUUCUUUUAUCAUGGUUGAAGGUUGCAUGACUUCUGCUAGGUGUUUUGAUACUUUUCGGUCUCUACUUGAAUGUUGCGUACCUAAUUUUUUAGUGGCCAACAAUCUUGCACUGAUUCUUGCUAGGGGUCAUCAAGGAAACUCAAUAGAUGGCUAUUUCAGUGGAGAUUAUACCAGAGAUGUUGUUUUGAAAGUAUAUGCCAGGAGAGAAAGAUAUACUUGAAACCCGAUGAGGUCAAUGAUGUGGAGAUUUUACCAGAGAUGUUGUUUUCAAGUAAGAUUUUGUGUGAGAUUAUACCGAUCGCACCAGCACGCCACAUUGUUGCUCCACGGCAAAGGCAGCGAGACUGAUCCCGGAGAGGAGAACAAGCCUCCGAGCACGUGCUCGUCAACUCCAUGCCGGCCGCUCCAAGCGCCCCUGCUUCGUGUCUUCAAGGCAGGCGCCGAGAUAGCCUUUGCAGCGAGCUGUGGUGUGUGGACUCUGCGGCGAGAUGGGAUUCAGAAUCCUUUUCCGUGAUAGCACAUCCAAGGAAGGAAGGAGAUUGAGGUUGGCACCUCCUGAAGGCAUGCAUGCUCUUCACCGAGAGAGGGAAGGGCAUCUUUUUCUUGGGUUGCAGUUUCCACCUUGUUGUUGGGUGAGCUGAUUCGUUGUUUGUCACAGCUCUUGUGGAUAAUCAGACAUGGGGUGCAUGGCAAAAUUAGGACAGACCGAAGGCAGCAAAUUCCGUGUUGGCCGUGCACUUUGAGGAGAAGACAUUGUCUUUGUAUAAGUGCCCCUACAAUCAUCUCUUUACAGCAGAGAUAAGGCCUUCAGAUAGAUAUGGCCACAUAAAUCGCACCGAUGGAUCCAGUCCUUCGCUAGGUCCAACCUACCCUGCACCAGCCUCAAGCACGUUAUUCAGUCAACGCAUAUUCUGUCUUUUGGCAUGUGUAUGCUUGCUCUUGUGCUCAUGUUGUAAUCGUGACCUGUAAUCAGUCCAUGAUCCUUGUGUGACCAGAAGUUGGGCAUAACUGCAUUGUUACUGAGAAGAUGUGAAUAUUAACUUAGGGAUCGGAGCUGAAGCUCUAGCAGAUAGCAAAGAUAUGAAGUCUGUGCUCUGUCUUAUGUUUGCAAGUAUAUUGAUGUAACUUCACAUCUUGAAUGGAGUCACUCCUAUGUGUACUGCCGCUGUAAUUACACAACAUGAAUUUUCCGUUUUUGUGAUCA